GCCGGAAGAAGGUUAAUACACUUUAUUUUGAAAAGUUCCAGAAGAGUUUGUACUGGAGUUUUAAUGUUGAAAUUCAUAGCUGGGUCCCAACACUAGCUAGCUGACAGCUGUUAUUCAUAUCAGUCCAGCUUCAUUUGAAUUUUUUGCUAGCUACCUGACGUUAUCUAGCUCCUGACUAGCUUGUGGAGAAGGUUUUUAAAUCCGUGUUUGGUGACCGUGUUAGCACCAUGUCUAUGGCAAUGUAGUGCGUUAUGGCUGUCGUUAUCUCCCGGUGUCUUUUACUGCUCUUGUCAUAUGGAGUUACACUGGCAAAGGAUGCCAUAAUUGUAGACUGUUUGCUACUGUGGGCCUGAGCAUCGAUUUCACCUGACUAUUUGUCAUGCAAUAGUUGACAGAGCAAAUCCUGGGUCAGUCUGGAGAGCAGUCCAAAAAAAAUAAAAAAUAAAAAAUGCAGCUUUGGCGAUCACGUGAUCGUGUUGUCUGAAAUCACAAUUUCUAUCAGAAAAUGAUAAAUCGUUCAGCCCUACUAGCUAGCAGAAGUUUGCAGCAAACGUUAGUUAGCCAGUGAUGCCAAAACCUCAGCGGGAAAAUUGCUAUCAAGAUUAAUGUUGCACGACUAACAAAAGUAAAAAAAAAAAAAAAUUAUAAUGAGCACUGUACUUGCCUGCCAACUUCAAAAUGUGUGCAGGUUCAACCAGCCACCCAUUCCUAGGCCUCUAGCCACCGAUGCUGUGGCACUUAAUAAGAUACUCCUUUUUAGAGUUUUCGGGAUCAAAGUCCACAAUCCAAUUUACGUGGAUAAUACUGAGAGCUUUUUUAUUCUUUCCCUUUGACCAGCUCACUAGUGCACACUUCAUUAUAUUAUUUUCUCCCCUCAGCACUGAGGCGCACAGAGUAAUGGCAGCACCCGGUGGCUUGUCGUUCGCGCCUAUUCUACCCAUAAAACCUUUGCAGUUCAAUGUAUCCACGGUAAGAAGUAGCUCGACCAAUCAGAGACGUUGUUUUACACUAUAGGAUUCUGGGUUUUUUAAUUUCUGUUAAUUAAUUUAAUAUAACGUUUUAGCUUCUGUGCCACUGCUUUACAACACACUCGCUUUACAAAACACAAAGAACAUUUAUGGGAUAUUUACCUCUGGCAACCGAGUGGGCUGUCAAGCUGUCGAGAGUUCCGUCGUUCCAGAAGAAGAGAGGUAUGGACAGAAGGAGAAGAAAAUACACUGACCCCGGUUCAGAAUAUGAUAUUCCAACAAGAACAAGGAGAUUCUGGAAAAGGAGGAAACUGACUGAGGCCAUCAACUUGCAUUAGUCAAACCAGGAUAGUGAAUCUGGAUCAGGAUUCCUCUGACCACAACACUGACAGUGGCUCAGAAGACACACCUGAUGGUGGUGGGAUGACAGUAGAGCCUGCAUGCAGACCCUGAAUCCGAUGAACUACCUCCACAUUUGACCCAAACAACAGAGUUAUUAGUCUUCAGCUUAGAGGGCAGUGUUGAUUUUGGUGUCUUUCAACCACCAUGGCAGUCUUAUACUGACUCUGAAUCCUUUGGCAGUGGAGAAGAAUUUUCCAUGGAAGACAGCACUGACAAGUCAGUAAAUGAAGAAUCACAUUUCAGAGUAGGUGUUAAUGAAAGGGUUCCUCCAGUAAAUGAUGAACCACUUUACACAGGCUCACAACUAACCAACGCUCAGAGUUUUUUAUUUAUACUGUCAUAUGCUUUGAGACACUCGCUUACUGGUGUAGCUCUGUCUGAUCUUUUAGAUGUGAUUAAUAUCCACUGCUCAGAAAAUGUUCUAACUUCAAAGCAUCUGUUCUUAAAAGAGCUUAAAUCAAUACAAGGUCAGCUAGAAUGUCACAUAUACUGUCCCAACUGUGAAUAUUACAUCGGCAACCAAGUCACCGAGGGGCAGUGUUGUGUGUAACUCUACAUGGGAUAGAAACAGCUCACUGAAAAAUGGAAAUUUCUUCCUAUACUUACCCAUCCAAACACAAUUGGAACAUCUUCUUCAAAGAGAAGAUAUUGCAUGUUGGGUCAAGUCAGUAAACAGCAGUAAUGUAAUUCGGAAAAUUGUGAUGACAUAUGUUGUGGUAAAAUGUAUCUUAAUUUGAAAAAAGAUGGAGGCCCACUGGAUAAUCCUCAUGCGUUCUCCUUAACUUUGAAUUGUGAUGGAGUUCCAGUAUUCAAAUCAUCCUAGUAUGCAAUUUGGCCAUUACAAGGGAUGGUAAACGAGCUUCCUUAUCAUGUCCGUAAAGAGAAUGUUUUACUUUUUGGCCUAUGGUUUGGUAUUAAGAAGCCAAAUGUUAAUACAUUUUUAAAACCAUUCACACAAGAGUGUCAGUCAUUGUCAACUGUUGGCUUCAAGUUACACAGAAACAACACAGUGAAUUAUUGUAAAGUUAUAGCAGCUGUUAUGAUGCGUGAUUCAAUUGCCAGUCCCAUUCUGCAAAACAUGACCCAAUUUAAUGCUCAUUAUGGGUGCAGCUUCUACCUACAUCCUGGUGAACAAGUUCCAAAGGGAAAUGGAACUGUUGGGGUUUAUCCAUACGAAGACGUUCCAAAAAGGGAUCAUGCUUCAACCCUAACUGAUCCAAGGGAGGCUAUACAUACCACACAAUCUGUGAGAGGAAUUAAAGGGCCCACAUGUCUUAUCAACAUCCCACACUUUGACAUCAUGUCUGGAAUGCCUCCUGAUCAUAUGCAUAAUGUACAUCUUGGAGUUGUUCAGCACAUGACAAGCAUGUGGCUGGAUAGUGAACACCAUGAGGAGCCAUACUAUAUCGGUAAUCGUAUUCCUGAGCUCGACCAGCAACUCUUUAGAAUUAAGCCACUUUGCAAUAUCACAAGCGUGCCCUGCUCUUUUAAGCAAAUAAAGUUUUGGAAAACCAGUUCAGUCAUACAUUUAGAAAAUGUAGUUGGCUGAAAAGAGUGUUAGAGGGCAGGAAGCAGGUUUUUGAUGGGAUGACAUUCAACAGGAAAUGUA
Girardinichthys multiradiatus is the source of this 2979-nucleotide long non-coding RNA. RefSeq lists it as uncharacterized. Lineage: Eukaryota; Metazoa; Chordata; Actinopteri; Cyprinodontiformes; Goodeidae. The record is from RefSeq and is a predicted model, not a curated record. The transcript is spliced from 4 exons.